Molecule: ribosomal RNA, 462 nt
Filed under: uncultured bacterium
Lineage: Bacteria
Description: partial 16S ribosomal RNA
Rfam family: Bacterial small subunit ribosomal RNA
Source: RNAcentral
CCUACGGGCGGCACAGCAGUGAGGAAUAUUGGUCAAUGGACGAGAGUCUGCACCAGACAAGUCGCGUGAAGGAUGACUGCCCUAUGGGUUGUAAACUUCUUUUAUAAAGGAAUAAAACGAGGCACGUGUGCCUUUUUGCAUGUACUUUAUGAAUAAGUAUCGGCUAACUCCGUGCCAGCAGCCGCGUUAAUACGGAGGAUCCGCGCGUUAUCCGGAUUUUUUGGGUUUAAAGGGUGCGUAGAUGGGUGUUUAAGUCAGUUGUGAAAGUUUGCGGCUCAACCGUAAAAUUGCAAUUGAUACUGGCAGUCUUGAGUACAGUUGAGGUAGGCGGAAGUCGUGGUGUAGCGGUGAAAUGCUUAGAUAUCACGAAGAACCCCGAUUGCGAAGGCAGCUUACUAAACUGUGACUGACAUUGAUGCUCGAAAGUGUGGGUAUCAAACAGGAUUAGAUACCCGGGUAGUC